UGUCGUCAGCUCGUGUUGUGAAAUGUUGGGUUAAGUCCCGCAACGAGCGCAACCCUUAUCCUUUGUUGCCAGCGGUCCGGCCGGGAACUCAAAGGAGACUGCCAGUGAUAAACUGGAGGAAGGUGGGGAUGACGUCAAGUCAUCAUGGCCCUUACGACCAGGGCUACACACGUGCUACAAUGGCGCAUACAAAGAGAAGCGACCUCGCGAGAGCAAGCGGACCUCAUAAAGUGCGUCGUAGUCCGGAUUGGAGUCUGCAACUCGACUCCAUGAAGUCGGAAUCGCUAGUAAUCGUGGAUCAGAAUGCCACGGUGAAUACGUUCCCGGGCCUUGUACACACCGCCCGUCACACCAUGGGAGUGGGUUGCAAAAGAAGUAGGUAGCUUAACCUUCGGGAGGGCGCUUACCACUUUGUGAUUCAUGACUGGGGUGAAGUCGUAACAAGGUAACCGUAGGGGAACCUGCGGUUGGAUCAC
RNAcentral lists this ribosomal RNA (476 nucleotides) under Escherichia coli. Its description in RNAcentral is "bacterial SSU rRNA". It matches the Rfam family "Bacterial small subunit ribosomal RNA", at positions 1050 to 1526 of the family's 1533-position model. Lineage: Bacteria; Pseudomonadati; Pseudomonadota; Gammaproteobacteria; Enterobacterales; Enterobacteriaceae. The record is from RNAcentral. RNAcentral also lists the same sequence under 121 other names.